AAAUGAGUUAAAACAUCAUGAAGCUCCUCCUAGAAUGGAAUGCCAUCCAUGAGAGAGGAAGGAAGACAAAUUAAGUCUAAAAUUAAUGCAUGUCACCAGCUCCCCCCAAAUAUUGACUCAUAAUCAGGCCAAGCGCCACAGCAUGGCUUGAUGAGUGGCAUGUAGGUCCAUGCUCAGGAUCCGAACCUGUGAACCCCUAGCCGCCAAAGCAGAGCACACGAAUUUAACCACUACACAACCGUGCUGGCCCCUGAAAUGUCAUAAUAUUUUUAAUGAAAAUAUCAUGAUGUGAAACAAAAGGGCUGGCCCCGUGGCUGAGUGGCUGAGUUCACACGCUCCGCUGCAGGCGGCCCAGUGUUUCGUUGUUUCGAAUCCUGGGCACGGACAUGGCACUGCUCAUCGAGCCACGCUGAGGCGGCGUCCCACGUGCCACAACUAGAAGAACCCACAACGAAGAAUAUACAACUAUGUACUGGGGGGCUUUG
This 485-nucleotide long non-coding RNA is filed under the name Equus caballus (horse). Its description in RNAcentral is "lncRNA (ENSECAG00000046465.1)". Lineage: Eukaryota; Metazoa; Chordata; Mammalia; Perissodactyla; Equidae. The record is from RNAcentral.